UACAGAGGUGGCAAGCGUUGUUCGGAAUUACUGGGCGUAAAGCGCGUGUAGGCGGCUCUUCAAGUCAGGCGUGAAAGCCCCGGGCUCAACUCGGGAACUGCGCUUGAUACUGUCGAGCUAGAGUGUGGAAGGGGCGAUUGGAAUUCCGUGUGUAGCGGUGAAAUGCGUAGAUAUACGGAGGAACACCAGAGGCGAAGGCGGAUCGCUGGGCCAACACUGACGCUGAGACGCGAAAGCCAGGGUAGCAAACGGG
RNAcentral lists this ribosomal RNA (253 nucleotides) under uncultured bacterium. RNAcentral's name for it is "partial 16S ribosomal RNA". It matches the Rfam family "Bacterial small subunit ribosomal RNA", at positions 524 to 776 of the family's 1533-position model. The record is from RNAcentral.